CCAGAUUCGACGUGUCAGCUGUCAUUCAUAAGCGGUUGUCAAGACAGUCGAUGUGAAAGCACCAACGUGGCUUCACUGUAAUGAAAGAACUCACAACUGCAAUCAUGGGGAAGACUGCUGACUUGACUCCUGUCCAGAAGACAAUCAUUGAUCCCCUUCUCAAGGAGGGACUUGGUACCUGCCCACAGGGGCACCAGAAAGUGGUUUGCUCACAAUGGUAUUGCUGUGUUUGAUUGGCUAGCCAACUGGUCUGAUCUGAACCCCAUGGAGAAUCUCUGAAGAAAUGUCGAGGAAAGAUGAGAGAACCAGACUCAACAAUACAGAUGAGCUGAAGGCUGCUAUGAGAGCAACCUGGGAUUCAUAACACCCUAUAGGUGUCCCAGGCUGAAUGGCUCCAUGCCACAUCACAGUGAUGCAGUAAUUUGUGCAAAAGGAGCUCCAACCAAUUACU
This is a long non-coding RNA of Cheilinus undulatus (humphead wrasse), 451 nucleotides long. RefSeq lists it as uncharacterized. The transcript has 3 exons. NCBI's taxonomy places the organism in Eukaryota, Metazoa, Chordata, Actinopteri, Labriformes, Labridae. The record is from RefSeq and is a predicted model, not a curated record.